Molecule: ribosomal RNA, 613 nt
Filed under: uncultured bacterium
Lineage: Bacteria
Description: bacterial SSU rRNA
Rfam family: Bacterial small subunit ribosomal RNA (bases 1-519)
Source: RNAcentral
CCUACGGGAGGCAGCAGUGGGGAAUAUUGGACAAUGGGCGAAAGCCUGAUCCAGCAAUGCCGCGUGAGUGAUGAAGGCCUUAGGGUUGUAAAGCUCUUUUACCAGGGAUGAUAAUGACAGUACCUGGAGAAUAAGCUCCGGCUAACUCCGUGCCAGCAGCCGCGGUAAUACGGAGGGAGCUAGCGUUGUUCGGAAUUACUGGGCGUAAAGCGUACGUAGGCGGUUAUUCAAGUCAGAGGUGAAAGCCUGGAGCUCAACUCCAGAACUGCCUUUGAAACUAGAUAGCUAGAAUCUUGGAGAGGUGAGUGGAAUUCCGAGUGUAGAGGUGAAAUUCGUAGAUAUUCGGAAGAACACCAGUGGCGAAGGCGACUCACUGGACAAGUAUUGACGCUGAGGUACGAAAGCGUGGGGAGCAAACAGGAUUAGAUACCCUGGUAGUCCACGCCGUAAACGAUGAUAACUAGCUGUUCGGGCUCUACGAGCUUGUAGUGGCGCAGCUACGACAUUAAGUUAUCCGUCCGUCGGGAGGUACGGUCGCGAGAAUUAAACUAACAAAGAAAGUUAGACGGCGUGAGACGUAGCCGAACGGACGACGACGAGGGAAGGUAGGGAG